GUUUAUCUAUGGCCUGAUCUCAUCUCAGAAGCUAAACAGGGUCCACCCUGGUUAGUACUUGGAUAGGACACCAUCUGGGAACACUAAAUACUAUAGGCU
RNAcentral lists this ribosomal RNA (99 nucleotides) under Jaculus jaculus (lesser Egyptian jerboa). Lineage: Eukaryota; Metazoa; Chordata; Mammalia; Rodentia; Dipodidae. The record is from RNAcentral.